This is a long non-coding RNA of Polyodon spathula (Mississippi paddlefish), 1063 nucleotides long. RefSeq lists it as uncharacterized. The transcript is spliced from 3 exons. Lineage: Eukaryota; Metazoa; Chordata; Actinopteri; Acipenseriformes; Polyodontidae. The record is from RefSeq and is a predicted model, not a curated record.
AUUUACACAUCUACACUACAGUAAUACCGUGCAAGGGAGGUGGGAACUUUAUCGUGUCGUCACCACAUGUCUUUCCAAACACGGAAACCAAAACCAAAGCGCAGUAAUCAGAAUAAUAGAAUGAACGGUUCAUGCAAAGCUCUGCAAGCACUAUCAUGUAGUGUUCUGUGAAUCUGUUCCACAUACAGCGUCAUAGAGAGGGUAAAAAAAAACGAUUGUCUUUUAACAGAAAAUCUGCAUUUGCCGAGCCUGUCAACUAAGGAAAAGAACAUCAAAACUAUACAGCCAAGAGGAUGCACAUUCACUGUAUGAGAAAGGCACAGUGAGGUGGUUUGAGGCACAUUUCCCUAAUCAGACUGCAUUGUCCACUCAUCUGGUGUUUUUUGAGGCUUUAGAAAAGGAAAUAACCCCCUUCCUGGAAAGGAACAGCUACGUGAACACCUCACAGUUUUUUCAUACUCCCAUCCCUGAAGGCCAGGUUGGAAGAAACAUAUGCAUAUAUGAGAGGCAAACUUAAUAAAAAAUACUUCUUUUGAAGGGUGGGGAAUUUAACAAGAUAUUUAGUGGGGUAUACAGUGAUCUGUGAAGGCAUUUGUGGACACUCCAGACAGAAUAUAUAUUUCUAGAUGUUUUUAGGCAUUUUAUCAUGUAAAUAAACCAUAAUUUAUUAAUAUGUUUUGCUCUUGAACUUUGUUUUCUCAAAUAGUUAUUUGUUAACAAUAGGCUGAGGCCCUUUUUCCUGCAACAACACUACAGGUUCACAUCCUCUGUGUUACAGGCAAUAGGACACCCCUGGAUGCUUAGGCUCAAUCAGAGGGGCCCUAUUCUCUAUAACAGAGGCAGUGAAUCUGAGUAUGGGGUGAAAAAGUCUGAAAGCCAAACUUUACAUGGCUGAAAAUGGGUUGCUAUUUUAACAGCUGGCUUACUCCACCUUUACAAUUAAUUAGUAAAAUAAACUUGCAAUAUUUUCAGUAAUGAACAAAGUAUGUUGUUGUAAACUGUAGAGUUAAUGUGGAUUUAAAUAAUAAAUCCAAUAAUAAAGACAGGACUACCCAGGUAACCA